Molecule: ribosomal RNA, 384 nt
Filed under: uncultured bacterium
Lineage: Bacteria
Description: bacterial SSU rRNA
Rfam family: Bacterial small subunit ribosomal RNA
Source: RNAcentral
AGCAGUGGGGAAUAUUGGACAAUGGGCGCAAGCCUGAUCCAGCAAUGCCGCGUGGAUGAAGAAGGUUUUCGGAUUGUAAAGUCCUUUCGACGGGGACGAUGAUGACGGUACCCGUAGAAGAAGCCCCGGCUAACUUCGUGCCAGCAGCCGCGGUAAUACGAAGGGGGCUAGCGUUGCUCGGAAUGACUGGGCGUAAAGGGCGCGUAGGCGGAAUGCUUUGUCGGGCGUGAAAUUCCAGGGCUUAACCUUGGGACUGCGUUCGAGACGGGUAUUCUAGAGUGGAGAAGAGGGUCGUGGAAUUCCCAGUGUAGAGGUGAAAUUCGUAGAUAUUGGGAAGAACACCGGUGGCGAAAGCGGCGACCUGGUCUUUUACUGACGCUGAGG